This 245-nucleotide ribosomal RNA is filed under the name uncultured bacterium. RNAcentral describes it as "partial 16S ribosomal RNA". It matches the Rfam family "Bacterial small subunit ribosomal RNA", at positions 524 to 767 of the family's 1533-position model. The record is from RNAcentral.
GACGAACCGUGCGAACGUUAUUCGGAAUCACUGGGCUUAAAGGGCGCGUAGACGGAUCGCCGCGUCGAGUGCUGAAAGUUCCCGGCUCAACCGGGGAAGUGGCCUCGAUACGGGCGGCCUCGAGGCGAGGAGGGGGACCCGGAACGUCCGGUGGAGCGGUGAAAUGCGUUGAGAUCGGAUGGAACGCCGACGGCGAAAGCGGGGUCCUGGACUCGUACUGACGUUGAGGCGCGAAAGCCAGGGGA